CAGCCGCCGCGGUAAGACGAACCGUGCGAACGUUAUUCGGAAUCACUGGGCUUAAAGCGCGUGUAGGCGGAUGGGAGCGUCGGCCUCUGAAAUCCCCCGGCUCAACCGGGGAAGUGGAGCCGAAACGACCCGUCUGGAGGGACGUAGGGGGACCUGGAACUUCCGGUGGAGCGGUGAAAUGCGUUGAGAUCGGAAGGAACGCCCGUGGCGAAAGCGAGGUCCUGGACGUCUGCUGACGCUGAGACGCGAAAGCCAGGGGAGCGAACGGGAUUAGAUACCCGCGUAGUCCCUGUCUCUUAUA
This 301-nucleotide ribosomal RNA is filed under the name uncultured bacterium. RNAcentral describes it as "partial 16S ribosomal RNA". It matches the Rfam family "Bacterial small subunit ribosomal RNA", at positions 509 to 807 of the family's 1533-position model. The record is from RNAcentral.